UAGAGUGUUUAAAGCAAGCUAACGCUUGAAUACAUUAGCAUGGAAUAAUGAAAUAGGACGUUCGAUCCUAUUUUGUUGGUUUCUAGGAUUGACGUAAUGAUUAAUAGGGAUAGUUGGGGGCAUUAGUAUUCAAUUGUCAGAGGUGAAAUUCUUGGAUUUAUUGAAGACUAACUACUGCGAAAGCAUUUGCCAAGGAUGUUUUCAUUAAUCAAGAACGAAAGUUAGGGGAUCGAAGACGAUCAGAUACCGUCGUAGUCUUAACCAUAAACUAUGCCGACUAGGGAUCGGAUGAUGUUAAUUUUUAAUGACUCAUUCGGCGCCUUACGGGAAAC
This 332-nucleotide ribosomal RNA is filed under the name uncultured Glomus. RNAcentral describes it as "SSU rRNA". It matches the Rfam family "Eukaryotic small subunit ribosomal RNA", at positions 767 to 1098 of the family's 1831-position model. Lineage: Eukaryota; Fungi; Glomeromycota; Glomeromycetes; Glomerales; Glomeraceae. The record is from RNAcentral.